RNAcentral lists this ribosomal RNA (253 nucleotides) under uncultured bacterium. Its description in RNAcentral is "partial 16S ribosomal RNA". It matches the Rfam family "Bacterial small subunit ribosomal RNA", at positions 524 to 776 of the family's 1533-position model. The record is from RNAcentral.
UACGUAGGGGGCAAGCGUUGUCCGGAUUUAUUGGGCGUAAAGAGCGUGUAGGCGGCCACACAGGUCUGCUGUGAAAACUCGAGGCUCAACCUCGAGCUGUCGGUGGAAACCGUGUGGCUAGAGCCCGGAAGAGGAGAGUGGAAUUCCCGGUGUAGCGGUGAAAUGCGCAGAUAUCGGGAAGAACACCCGUGGCGAAGGCGGCUCUCUGGGACGGUACUGACGCUGAGACGCGAAAGCGUGGGGAGCGAACAGG